Molecule: non-coding RNA, 65 nt
Filed under: Dermacoccus sp.
Lineage: Bacteria; Bacillati; Actinomycetota; Actinomycetes; Micrococcales; Dermacoccaceae
Source: RNAcentral
CCAGUCCCACGUUUGGUGGGGCCCGGACGAGGGAGCCGUACCCGGAACGCGACAAGACGGCCAUC